Mytilus trossulus (common blue mussel) is the source of this 2487-nucleotide long non-coding RNA. RefSeq lists it as uncharacterized. Lineage: Eukaryota; Metazoa; Mollusca; Bivalvia; Mytilida; Mytilidae. The record is from RefSeq and is a predicted model, not a curated record. The transcript is spliced from 3 exons.
AGGUUCUCCUGUGAUAUGUUUUCAUGGUGUGGGUUUAAGACUUGGUGGUCUUACACAGCUAAUAUGAAGGUUAGCAUCACAGCUUGUCUGUAAGGACUGAAGCUGGGAGUGGGCAUUGGAGCUGACUUUUAUGGUAACUGUGGCUGCAUAAAAGGGCUAUGUGAUUUUACUGUAACAGUAAAGAAAGUAAUUCAGACUAUUAUGUGAUUUUACUGUAACAGCAAAGAAUGUAAUUCAGACUAUUUUUGUGUAUGUUUGAGAAAAUGUUUAUAGUUUUUACCAUACAAAGAAAAAAAAAUAUGUACAGGUUCUCCAUUUUCAGCAAGAUUGGAAGUUGUAGUUUAAUAGGUCUUUGAAAUUUAAAAAAAUACUGUUUUUUGUUCAUACUCAUAUCUAGACAAAACACUUCCAGUAGUUUAAGAAUGGAGAAUCUAAAAAAAAAAAAGAAAAAGAAAAAAAAAUGUUCAAUUAUUGAAAGGUUUUUGUUCAGCCUUUGACUUUAGUCUAUAAAGAGAGACAUAGGGAUCCUUUAUUCUGUUAUUGGCUUGGUCUGCUGGCGUUGGACCACAUAUGAAGGGGGACACUAAAGGAGGGGUCCUGAUCCCAAAAUCCUGUGCUUAAAAAAUAGGAAAUCCUGAGGUCCCGAAAUUGGAAAAAAAUCUAAUUCCUUGAUCCCGAAAUCCCGAGCUUAAAAACACCUGAUCCCAGAGUCCUGAUAAAGGUCCUAUCCCCUUCAUAUAUAUUCAGUAAUUUACUUGCAUAAGCUGGACUUCAGCUUUUUCCUCAAUUUUGUUGAGUCUGAAAUUAACACUGGGUUCCGUGGAACCAUUACAAAUUUAUCAAGAUACAAAAUAUUUAAAUAAUUUUUUCUGGUGUGAUUUGAAAAGUCCCUCCUUCCCCUUGACAACCAAUUAUUUAUUGCUUAAAUUAUUUGGAUGAAUUUACUUUAAAAGGUAAAAAAAAAAUGAUAGUAGUUAAUAUUGUAUGCAGAGUGUGUGAUAUAUUUUUCUGGUUCGGCAAGGUCUUUAAAUGCAUUUUUUUUCAAUUUUCAGAUCCCACAAACAUAAGCUAAAGGAACCUGCAAAAUAAGAUUUUUCUUUGUUUAAUUUGUAAUGAUAUGUUUAAGAGGAAAAUGUUUGUAUUUGCCCAUCUUUGUCUUCUAUCCAAAACUCCAAUUACAUAUAGUAAUCUGUAAAGUGGAUCCCGAGAUCAUAUAUGUAGGGUAGAGUUUCAAUAAAACACAGAAUUAAAUGUUUUAUGUUCUUAUGUUUUAUAAGAACUUUAUGGAUCGCUACUGUGAUUUAAUUAGAUAUAUUUUGGUUCCUAGGGCACCUUCAUCAGGAUUAAAACUACAGGAUAGUCCAAAAAUCAUGUAAUUUAUAUUUCACAAUGUCACCAUCAGGAUAAAUCAUGAAUAGGGUGUGAAGGUAGAUAUGAAAAUUAACUGGAGCAAGAAUGUUAAAUAAAAUAUGUUUUUGUAAAUUUGGACGACAUUUGACUUGCAAUUAUGUACCAUUUACUAUACUGGAUGUAGUACAGACUUGCUUAACGUACCAUUUCAAUACUGGGAAAAGUACGUUUGUCUGAGCGAAGCCAAUUGGAAGCAUGUACCUCUUAGUGAAGCUAAUUGGGAGUACAUACCCUCUGUCUUGUUGCAAAGCUGAUUGGAAGCAGUACAUAUAUACCUCUGUCUGCUAAAGCUAAUUAGAAGCAGUACCCUUGGCAGAGUGGUCCCAAUUAGAGGCAGUAACUCUGAGCGAAGCCAAUUGGAAGCAUGUACCUCUGCAAAAUUUGAUCAAAUACUAUUCAACAAAUUUUAUUUAACAUUCUUUUAAAGUUUACUUUCAUAUCUUCUUUUCUUUUUUUAUUUAUUAUUAUUCCCCCUGUUGACAUUAAUUAUUAAGUGUAAAUUAUCACUUCACCAUUUUGUACUCUUUUGUCACUAAGUUUUUAUUCUGAUGAAAGUGCUGUAGAAAUUAAAACAUGCCAAUACAGUUUGAUUACUCCAACAAUCCCUGAAGUAUUAUUAUAAGAAUUAUCAUAAAUGAAUCUUUUAUAGACCAUUGAAAUAAAAAUAAAUACUAUGCAUUUUGCUGAUUAUUUAUUUCACUUUUUGUCAAGCCUUCGAAUGUAGUUGGAAAAGCAAGAAAUAGCAAUUCUUCAUCCUUUUGUCAUAAAUAUUCACUCUGUAGUUUAGGUUUUUGAAAUUUUAAUUAUUUUCUUAAACUAUCCUGGAUUUUUACAAAACUUGGACAGAAGCUUGUUUAUGACCAUAAGAUAAUAUCUAGAAGUAAAUUUUGUAAUUUAAAAAAAAAAUCAAUUUUUACUUAUAACUGGACUUUCUAUCAGAAAACAAUAUAUUCAAUCUGUGGUUAAAGUUUUUCAAUUUUUUUAAUAGCUUUCUUAAACUAUCCUGGGUUUGUACCAAACUUGGACGGAACCUUGUUUAUGAUCAAGAGAUAAUAAUAAGUAUCUAGAAGGAAAAUG